AUGAUAGAUGUAAUCUACAGGAUGACAGAUGUAAUCUACAGGAUGAUAGAUGUAAUCUACUCCUCUGUUAGGAUGACAGAUGUAAUCUACAGGAUGAUAGAUGUAAUCUACUCCUCUGUUAGGAUGACAGAUGUAAUCUACAGGAUGAUAGAUGUAAUCUACACCUCCAUUAGAAUGACAGAUGUAAUCUACUCCUCCGUUAGGAUGACAGAUGUAAUCUACUCCUCCGUUAGGAUGACAGAUGCAAUCUACUCCUCCGUUAGGAUGAUAGAUGUAAUCUACUCCUCUGUUAGGAUGAUAGAUGUAAUCUACAGGAUGACAGAUGUAAUCCACUCCUCCGUUAGGAUGACAGAUGUAAUCUACUCCUCUGUUAGGAUGAUAGAUGUAAUCUACAGGAUGACAGAUGUAAUCUACUCCUCCGUUAGGAUGAUAGAUGUAAUCUACAGGAUGAUAGAUGUAAUCUACUCCUCCGUUAUGAUGACAGAUGUAAUCUACUCCUCCAUUAGGAUGAUAGAUGUAAUCUACUCCUCCAUUAGGAUGACAGAUGUAAUCUACUCCUCCGUUAGGAUGAUAGAUGUAAUCUACUCCUCUGUUAGGAUGAUAGAUGUAAUCUACAGGAUGACAGAUGUAAUCCACUCCUCCGUUAUGAUGACAGAUGUAAUCCACUCCUCCGUUAGGAUGACAGAUGUAAUCUACUCCUCCGUUAGGAUGACAGAUGUAAUCUACUCCUCCGUUAUGAUGAUAGAUCUAAUCUACAGGAUGACAGAUGUAAUCUACUCCUCCGUUAGGAUGACAGAUGUAAUCCACUCCUCCGUUAGGAUGAUAGAUGUAAUCUACUCCUCCAUUAGGAUGAUAGCUUUAAUCUACAGGAUGAUAGAUGUAAUCUACUCCUCCAUAAUCAUAACAUUCUAGUACACAGUCAAAUACUGAAGACUGGGAUUAAACACAUUGCACAAACAUUAUUUUGUAAACUUCAAGGAGUUCACACUCCAGGCCAUGGUUGACCAGGUUGAAGUUCUGGCCCUAGGCCUUGAUUUGUUUUCAGUGUGGUGGAGUUGAUCAGCUCUUCGAGGUAACCCAAAGUGGCAGGAAACCUGUAUAUCCUCAACACGGUUGAUAAGGAUUUUGUACAAAGCUUAUUUAUCUGUUUACCCAUACAGUAUCCCAGUGAAACUUAAGUCAUACACAGUGCAAAGUGUGUGUGUGUGUAUGUAUGAGUUUGUGCCUGUGAAGAACUGUGUGUGAUAAUUGGCACUUUAGGAAGUUGAGUAGAACUACCCUGUGACAUUAACUACAUUUUAGUGGUUGUUUUGGCAUGUCUGUAAAUCUAUUGUCACAGCAAAUAUUACGAACAGAUACAAACGUGUACUUGUCUAGAAUGUUACUAGCUCUGUAGGUAUGAAAACAUUAGAUUUUUUUUUUUUAAACGAGGCUAGAUUAAAAUCCGGAAGAUCAUCUUUGUAGCGUGUUUGACAUGUAAACGGCAUUUCUGAUUGACCUGACAUAUGCAGCGUUUACCGUGAAUGAUGUCUCCACGAAUGCAGGAACAUUGCCUUUUUAAAUGUCAACCUCGCUAUAACGUGGACCUUCCAGCGCUCCCGGAUUGAAUCUAGGCGGUAGCCUUUAAAAUCUGUGUCAUGUAAAUUCCAUCCACAUCCAUUCAGAGCUUAUAUGACCCUUCAUACACCCCAAAAGCAUAGAUUAAUUUGCUUUAAAAAAUAUAUAUAUAACCUACAUCUUCUUUCUGUGCCCAAAAGCUAAAGGAAGAACACAUUCCACGUUGCGAAAAGGUAGACAUGGAAGGGCCAGAGUUGUUUUUGGGAUGGAUUGGUUGGGGGGGAGAAGCUGUGGUGGGGGCUGGCUAACUGGUUUCUGAGGGGUUGAGGUGGGUGCUGGCAGGGUUCUGUUAUAAAUGUUAUAGUAGGUAAAUCACAUUACUAGUUUUGAAGAUUUACAGUACCAGUCAAAUGUUUGUACACACCUACUCAUUCAAGGAGUUUUCCUAUUUUAUUGUAUAUACAUAGUAGGAUAAUACUGAAAUAACACAUAUGGAAUCAUGAAGUAACCAAAAAAAAGUUUAAAAUAAAUCAAAAUAAAUUUGAGAUUCUUCAAAGUAGCCACCCUUUGCCUUGAUGACAGCUUUGCACACUCUUGGCAUUCUCUCAACCAGCUUCAUGAGGUAGUCACCUGGAAUGCAUUUCAAUGAACAGGUUUGCCUUCUUAAAAGUUAAUUUAUGGAACUUAUUUCCUUUUAUUAUACACCCCGAGAGGCUCCUAUUUACAUUGACAAGCAUACGAGAAACCUUUUAAUUAUACACCAACCUGCGAUUGUGUUAAUAAGAUGAACAUAUAUCUAUCAGCCAGCUAAGAUACAGCUUGCUAUAUUAGCUCAUUGCCCCAGAGAAAAUAGCUAGGUAAGCAGUUAGUACAAAUAGUAGUUGUACUUGCUAUAACAUGUAACAUUUGCUAGUUAGAUGAUUCAAAACAUUAGCCAACUAGCUAAACAGCCAGCAAAGAUGCAGCUAGCUAGCUAAGAUAUAGCGUGCUAUUUUAGCUCAUUGUUCCAGAGAAAAUAGCUAGCUAAGCAGUUAGUUAAGGUAGUAGCUGUACUUGCUGCAUUAUGUAGUUAGAUUAAAAAAAAAGCAUUAGCUAAAUGGCCAGCCAAUCUACAGCUAGCUAGCAAGCAAGCUAAGUUAGCUCUUUUGAAAAGAUAACUAACCAGCAAAGUAGUUAAACUCAUUUAUAGAGUGCCUUAAGAAAGUACUCCCAUGUGGCGCAGUGGUUUAAGGCACUGCAUCUCAGUGCUAGAGGCGUCACUACAGACCCUGGUUCGAUUCCACAACUUGCAGUGAUUGGGAGUCCCAUAGGGCGGCGCACAAUUGGCCCAGCGUCGUUAGGGUUUGGCCGGGGUAGGCCAUCGUUGUAAAUAAAAUAUUAAAAAGUAUUCAUACCACUUGACUUAUUCCACAUUUUGUUGUGUUACAGCCUGAAUUCAAAAUGGAUAAAAUAGAUUGUAGAAAACUUUUGAAAAAUGAAAUACAGAAAUAUCUAAUUUACAUAAGUAUUCACACCCUAGGAAGGACGCAUAUAUCUAUGUAGUGACUGGGUGUAUUGAUACACCAUCCAAAGUGUAAUUAUUAACUUCACCAUGCUCAACGGGAUAUUCAAUGUCUGCUUUUUUUACCCAUCUACCAAUAGGUGCCCUUCUUUGUGAGGCAUUGGAAAACCUCCCUGGUCUUUGUGGUUGAAUCUGUGUUUGAAAUUCACUAGUCGACUGAGGGAAGUUACAUAUAAUUGUAUGUGUGGGGUACAGAGAUGAGGUAAUCAUUAAACAUUCAUGUUUAACACUAUUUUUGCACACAGUGAAUCCAUGCAACUUAUUAUUUGACUUGUUAAGCACAUUUGUUCUCCUGAACUUAUUUAGGUUUGCCUUAAAAUAAUUAUCUCUUAAGGAUACGCCCCUUUCCCCCCCAUUUUUGCCUACAAUGAUAUACCCAAAUCUAACUGCCUGUAGCUCAGGCCCUGAAGCAAGGACAUGCAUAUUAUUGGUACCAUUUGAAAGGAAGCACUUUGAAGUUUGUGGAAAUGUGAAAGGAAUGUGGGAGAAUAUAACACGUUAGAUCUGGUAAAAGAUAAAUCCCCCCCCAAAAAAUGUUUUUUUUUUGUACCAUCUUUGAAAUGCAGGAGAAAGGACAUAAUGUAUUAUUCCAGCCCAGGUGCAAUUUAGAUGUUGGCCACACUGGCAGCAGUGUAUGUGCAACGUUUUAGACUGAUCCAAUGAACCAUUGUAUUUCUGUUCCAAAUGUUGUAUCAAGACUGCCCAAAUGUGCCUAAUUUGUUUAUGAAUAACUUUUCAUGUUCAAAAUUGUGCACUCUCCUCAAACAAUAGCAUGGUAUUCUUUCACUGUAAAUUGAACAGUGCAGUUAGAUUAACAAGAGUUUAAGCUUUCUGCCAAUAUCAGAUAUGUCUAUGUCUUGGGAUAUGUUCUUGUUACUUACAACCUCAUGCUAAUCGCAUUAGCCUACGUUAGCUCAACCGUCCCCAAAUAGGUUUUUAACAAAGGGGUGGAAUACUUGUCUCAAGACAUUUCACCUUUUCAUUAAUUUUUAAAAACAUAAUUCCACUUCGACAUUAUGGGUUAUUGUGUGUGACACAAUCUCAAUUUAAUCCAUUUUAAAUUCAGGCUGUAACACAACAAAAUGUGGAAAAAGUCAAGGGGUGUGAAUACUUUCUGAGGGCCAUGCAUGUCAGACUGUAUAAUUUGGAAAUAGUCUUGUCAUUUUAGUGUUUUAUAUAUUAGCCAGUAUAAUAAAAACAUGUUAUUGCCAUUUUGUGUAAAAAAAAUUUUUGCUUACCUUAGUGAUGUGCUAACAUUAGCUAGAUAUGUAUAACUAAUCCAAGAUACAUCCUGUCAUUUCCAAUGGUAGCAAAUGAACCAUAGUGGGAAGAACAGGCAAGGAGGUGGGGAGAGCAAAGCAAGAUUAUAUUGGCGCGUUCUAGAAUGUAUUUGGA
RNAcentral lists this long non-coding RNA (4513 nucleotides) under Oncorhynchus mykiss (rainbow trout). RNAcentral describes it as "lncRNA (ENSOMYG00000049704.1)". Lineage: Eukaryota; Metazoa; Chordata; Actinopteri; Salmoniformes; Salmonidae. The record is from RNAcentral.